Molecule: transfer RNA, 72 nt
Filed under: Patescibacteria group bacterium
Lineage: Bacteria
Description: tRNA-OTHER
Rfam family: tRNA
About the family: Transfer RNA (tRNA) molecules are approximately 80 nucleotides in length. Their secondary structure includes four short double-helical elements and three loops (D, anti-codon, and T loops). Further hydrogen bonds mediate the characteristic L-shaped molecular structure. tRNAs have two regions of fundamental functional importance: the anti-codon, which is responsible for specific mRNA codon recognition, and the 3' end, to which the tRNAs corresponding amino acid is attached (by aminoacyl-tRNA synthetases). tRNAs cope with the degeneracy of the genetic code in two manners: having more than one tRNA (with a specific anti-codon) for a particular amino acid; and 'wobble' base-pairing, i.e. permitting non-standard base-pairing at the 3rd anti-codon position.
Source: RNAcentral
GUGGCGAUAGCUCGCUGGCAAGAGCACUCGGACAUAUCCGAUAGAUUGAAGGUUCAAAUCCUUCUCGCCACU